GAUGAACGCUGGCGGCGUGCCUAAUACAUGCAAGUCGAGCGAACGGACGAGAAGCUUGCUUCUCUGAUGUUAGCGGCGGACGGGUGAGUAACACGUGGAUAACCUACCUAUAAGACUGGGAUAACUUCGGGAAACCGGAGCUAAUACCGGAUGAUAUUUUGAACCGCGUGGUUCAAAAGUGAAAGACGGUCUUGCUGUCACUUAUAGAUGGAUCCGCGCUGCAUUAGCUAGUUGGUAAGGUAAUGGCUUACCAAGGCAACGAUGCAUAGCCGACCUGAGAGGGUGAUCGGCCGCACUGGAACUGAGACACGGUCCAGACUCCUACGGGAGGCAGCAGUAGGGAAUCUUCCGCAAUGGGCGAAAGCCUGACGGAGCAACGCCGCGUGAGUGAUGAAGGUCUUCGGAUCGUAAAACUCUGUUAUUAGGGAAGAACAUAUGUGUAAGUAACUGUGCACAUCUUGACGGUACCUAAUCAGAAAGCCACGGCUAACUACGUG
Molecule: ribosomal RNA, 497 nt
Filed under: uncultured bacterium
Lineage: Bacteria
Description: partial 16S ribosomal RNA
Rfam family: Bacterial small subunit ribosomal RNA
Source: RNAcentral